This 468-nucleotide ribosomal RNA is filed under the name uncultured bacterium. Its description in RNAcentral is "partial 16S ribosomal RNA". It matches the Rfam family "Bacterial small subunit ribosomal RNA", at positions 28 to 507 of the family's 1533-position model. The record is from RNAcentral.
GACGAACGCUGGCGGCGUGCUUAACACAUGCAAGUCGAACGGAAAGGCCCUGCUUUUGUGGGGUGCUCGAGUGGCGAACGGGUGAGUAACACGUGAGUAACCUGCCCUUGACUUUGGGAUAACUUCAGGAAACUGGGGCUAAUACCGGAUAGGAGCUCCUGCUGCAUGGUGGGGGUUGGAAAGUUUCGGCGGUUGGGGAUGGACUCGCGGCUUAUCAGCUUGUUGGUGGGGUAGUGGCUUACCAAGGCUUUGACGGGUAGCCGGCCUGGGAGGGUGACCGGCCACAUUGGGACUGAGAUACGGCGCAGACUCCUACGGGAGGCAGCAGUGGGGAAUAUUGCACAAUGGGCGGAAGCCUGAUGCAGAAACGCCGCGUGCGGGAUGACGGCCUUCGGGUUGUAAACCGCUUUCGCCUGUGACGAAGCGUGAGUGACGGUAAUGGGUAAAGAAGCACCGGCUAACUACGUG